Molecule: ribosomal RNA, 577 nt
Filed under: uncultured bacterium
Lineage: Bacteria
Description: partial 16S ribosomal RNA
Rfam family: Bacterial small subunit ribosomal RNA
Source: RNAcentral
UGGGGAAUUUUGGACAAUGGGCGAAAGCCUGAUCCAGCAAUGCCGCGUGUGUGAAGAAGGCCUUCGGGUUGUAAAGCACUUUUGUCCGGAAAGAAAUCCUUGGCUCUAAUACAGUCGGGGGAUGACGGUACCGGAAGAAUAAGCACCGGCUAACUACGUGCCAGCAGCCGCGGUAAUACGUAGGGUGCAAGCGUUAAUCGGAAUUACUGGGCGUAAAGCGUGCGCAGGCGGUUUGCUAAGACCGAUGUGAAAUCCCCGGGCUCAACCUGGGAACUGCAUUGGUGACUGGCAGGCUAGAGUAUGGCAGAGGGGGGUAGAAUUCCACGUGUAGCAGUGAAAUGCGUAGAGAUGUGGAGGAAUACCGAUGGCGAAGGCAGCCCCCUGGGCCAAUACUGACGCUCAUGCACGAAAGCGUGGGGAGCAAACAGGAUUAGAUACCCUGGUAGUCCACGCCCUAAACGAUGUCAACUAGUUGUUGGGGAUUCAUUUCCUUAGUAACGUAGCUAACGCGUGAAGUUGACCGCCUGGGGAGUACGGUCGCAAGAUUAAACUCAAUGAAUUGACGGGGUCAUAGCUG